GAUGAACGCUGGCGGCGUGCCUAAUACAUGCAAGUCGAGCGAACAGACGAGGAGCUUGCUCCUCUGACGUUAGCGGCGGACGGGUGAGUAACACGUGGAUAACCUACCUAUAAGACUGGGAUAACUUCGGGAAACCGGAGCUAAUACCGGAGAAUAUAUUGAACCGCAUGGUUCAAUAGUGAAAGACGGUUUUGCUGUCACUUAUAGAGGGAUCCGCGCCGCAUUAGCUAGUUGGUAAGGUAACGGCUUACCAAGGCGACGAUGCGUAGACGACCUGAGAGGGUGAUCGGCCACACGGGAACUGAGACACGGUCCAGACUCCUACGGGAGGGAGCAGUAGGGAAUCUUCCGCAGUGGGCGAAAGCCUGACGGAGCAACGCCGCGUGAGUGAUGACGGUCUUCGGAUCGUAAAACUCUGUUAUUAGGGAAGAACAAAUGUGUAAGUAACUAUGCACGUCUUGACGGUACCUAAUCAGAAAGCCACGGCUAACUACGUG
This 497-nucleotide ribosomal RNA is filed under the name uncultured bacterium. RNAcentral describes it as "partial 16S ribosomal RNA". It matches the Rfam family "Bacterial small subunit ribosomal RNA", at positions 28 to 507 of the family's 1533-position model. The record is from RNAcentral.